GACGAACGCUGGCGGCGUGCUUAACACAUGCAAGUCGAACGGAAAGGCCCUGCUUUUGUGGGGUGCUCGAGUGGCGAACGGGUGAGUAACACGUGAGUAACCUACCCUUGACUUUGGGAUAACUUCAGGAAACUGGGGCUAAUACCGGAUAGGAGCUCCUGCUGCAUGGUGGGGGUUGGAAAGUUUCGGCGGUUGGGGAUGGACUCGCGGCUUAUCAGCUUGUUGGUGGGGUAGUGGCUUACCAAGGCUUUGACGGGUAGCCGGCCUGAGAGGGUGACCGGCCACAUUGGGACUGAGAUACGGCCCAGACUCCUACGGGAGGCAGCAGUGGGGAAUAUUGCACAAUGGGCGGAAGCCUGAUGCAGCAACGCCGCGUGCGGGAUGACGGCCUUCGGGUUGUAAACCGCUUUCGCCUGUGACGAAGCGUGAGUGACGGUAAUGGGUAAAGAAGCACCGGCUAACUACGUG
RNAcentral lists this ribosomal RNA (468 nucleotides) under uncultured bacterium. RNAcentral's name for it is "partial 16S ribosomal RNA". It matches the Rfam family "Bacterial small subunit ribosomal RNA", at positions 28 to 507 of the family's 1533-position model. The record is from RNAcentral.